Molecule: non-coding RNA, 137 nt
Organism: Bacillus sp. FJAT-22058
Lineage: Bacteria; Bacillati; Bacillota; Bacilli; Caryophanales; Bacillaceae
Source: Rfam
GAGGAAAAGAAGAAGCACCCGCUUCUCACCUGGUUGACGCAAACAAUGCAGUUAACAGGUCAUGAUUUGAUUAUUUGGAUCUUUCUGAAUGAGUCUAUCAGUGUGGGUGCAACAUGCAUCCACACUUUUUUAUUAUG